Molecule: ribosomal RNA, 253 nt
Filed under: uncultured bacterium
Lineage: Bacteria
Description: partial 16S ribosomal RNA
Rfam family: Bacterial small subunit ribosomal RNA
Source: RNAcentral
GACGAACCGUGCGAACGUUGUUCGGAAUCACUGGGCUUAAAGGGCGCGUAGGCGGCUCGCGAGGUCGGGGGUGAAAUCCCACGGCUCAACCGUGGAAGGGCCUCCGAUACCGGCGGGCUGGAGGGAGGUAGGGGUGCGCGGAACUUCUGGUGGAGCGGUGAAAUGCGUUGAUAUCAGAAGGAACGCCGGCGGCGAAAGCGGCGCACUGGACCUCCUCUGACGCUGAGGCGCGAAAGCCAGGGGAGCAAACGGG